CGAAAUAUAGGUAGGAGGAGGGCUUACGAGUAUCAUAUAUUAUCUAACAUAUGCAUGUGUUCUUUAAUCUUCAGGUGUGUGCAAAGAUUAAAUCAACAGUACAUUAUUCGAAGACAAACUGAUCCAGGAGUUGAGGAGAAUGUUUUAUAAACAAUAUUAUUUUUACAUUACCUUAUUCCACUACUCUUUCUUACAGUAAAUGGAAGGGAAAGCAAAACAGGCUCGACUGGAAAAUUAUAGCUUAGAAAGGCGAUAUUGUUUACAAAUGCAAUGAAGUAUCGACAUCCCAUUUAUCAUAAUUAUAUGAUGGGCUCAUUGCUGUUGUUGAUGCAGGUAGUGCAGCAUUGUUGGACCAUAAGUUUAAAGAGGCAGUGUUCUUGAAGGACGUUGAAUUCGCGUGUUUGUUGUGCAGUUCAAGGCCUAGAUGGAGCGGUGAUGCCUCUUGCUGGGAUGAUCUUGAUGGAAAAUUCGGGUCUUUAUGGAAGUUAAUGUUGGAUUGCUCGAAAGGCACUGAUCCUGGCAUGGUGAAUGUGUUAUCAGGCUCUGGAUAGAUCAGUCUGUGAUGUUCCUUUUCCUCUCUUUUCUCCCUCAUUCUCUGUAAGUGUCUGAAUCUCUCUUGAAGGAGCGCGAUUGAUGAAGUGCCUGAGAUUUUAUCGCCUUUUUGCCCUGCCAUGGACUCUAUUGUGGGAUAAAGUGGUUAGAGAAAUAGUUGUGUGUGGAGUAGAUUUGCGAGUUUGAACAGCUAGCCUAUGAAUAAGUGCUUAUAUAGGAGAAACAGAUGUUUUUCUAUCGGUUUUACCUUCUGAAUUUCUUGCUCUCGGGUGAUUCUGGUGCUUUCUGUAGGAUGCAGUUAAGAGAAGAAUCGGCUACUCUGGGACUAAAUCCAAGGAGAAGAGUCGGAUUUUUUAACAUGAGUUGGUAUAAAUGAAAGCAAUAGGAGGGAUUUUUUUAAAGGAAAGAAACUGUUCAGAACAUAAGAACAAAUAAAAGUGGAGAAUAGCAUUUGGAAGAUUGUCGGCUGUUGAUA
RNAcentral lists this long non-coding RNA (1027 nucleotides) under Daucus carota (carrot). RNAcentral describes it as "long non-coding RNA (DCAR_LNC003977)". Lineage: Eukaryota; Viridiplantae; Streptophyta; Magnoliopsida; Apiales; Apiaceae. The record is from RNAcentral.